RNAcentral lists this ribosomal RNA (406 nucleotides) under uncultured bacterium. Its description in RNAcentral is "partial 16S ribosomal RNA". It matches the Rfam family "Bacterial small subunit ribosomal RNA", at positions 29 to 526 of the family's 1533-position model. The record is from RNAcentral.
AUUGAACGCUGGCGGCAGGCUUAACACAUGCAAGUCGAGCGAGCGGCGGACGGGUGAGUAAUGUAUGGGAAACUGCCUGAUGGAGGGGGAUAACUACUGGAAACGGUAGCUAAUACCGCAUACCAUCAGAUGUGCCCAGAUGGGAUUCGCUAGGAGGUGGGGUAAUGGCUAACCUAGGCGAAGAUCCCUCGCUGGUCUGAGAGGAGGACCAGCAACACUGGAACUGAGACACGGUCCAGCCCCCACCGGGAGGCAGCAGUGGGGAAUAUGGCAAAAUGGGCGCAAGCCUGCUGCAGCCAUGCCGCGUGUGUGAAGAAGGCCUUCGGGUUGUAAAGCACUUUCAGCGAGGAGGCGUUACUCGCAGAAGAAGCACCGGCUAACUCCGUGCCAGCAGCCGCGGGAAUAC